This 254-nucleotide ribosomal RNA is filed under the name uncultured bacterium. Its description in RNAcentral is "partial 16S ribosomal RNA". It matches the Rfam family "Bacterial small subunit ribosomal RNA", at positions 524 to 776 of the family's 1533-position model. The record is from RNAcentral.
UACGGGGGGAGCAAGCGUUGUUCGGAUUUACUGGGCGUAAAGGGCGCGUAGGCGGCCACCGCAAGUCGAUUGUGAAAUCUCCGGGCUUAACCCGGAAAGGUCAACCGAUACUGCGGGGCUAGAGUGCGGAAGGGGCAACUGGAAUUCUUGGUGUAGCGGUGAAAUGCGUAGAUAUCAAGAGGAACACCUGCGGCGAAGGCGGGUUGCUGGGCCGACACUGACGCUGAAGCGCGAAAGCUAGGGGAGCGAACGGG